AACGAACGCUGGCGGCAUGCCUAACACAUGCAAGUCGAACGAGACCUUCUGGUCUAGUGGCGCACGGGUGCGUAACGCGUGGGAACCUGCCCUUAGGUUCGGCAUAACUCCCCGAAAUGGGUUCUAAUACCUGAUAAUGUCUUCGGACCAAAGAUUUAUCGCCUUUGGAUGGGCCCGCGUUGGAUUAGCUAGUUGGUAGGGUAAAAGCCUACCAAGGCGACGAUCCAUAGCUGGUCUGAGAGGAUGAUCAGCCACACUGGGACUGAGACACGGCCCAGACUCCUACGGGAGGCAGCAGUGGGGAAUAUUGGACAAUGGGCGAAAGGCUGAUCCAGCAAUGCCGCGUGAGUGAUGAAGGCCUUAGGGUUGUAAAGCUCUUUUAACCGGGAUGAUAAUGACAGUACCGGGAGAAUAAGCACCGGCUAACUCCGUG
RNAcentral lists this ribosomal RNA (433 nucleotides) under uncultured bacterium. RNAcentral describes it as "partial 16S ribosomal RNA". It matches the Rfam family "Bacterial small subunit ribosomal RNA", at positions 29 to 507 of the family's 1533-position model. The record is from RNAcentral.